CAAGUUGCCGAACCACGUAAAUUUAUGUGUGUUUGAAUGUUUGGAUCUCCUAACAAUUUACUAUGGCAAUUUUUUCCAUAUCACCCUCCAAUUGUCCAUGUCGUGUUGGAAUACUUCAAUUCACUCCACUGCUGCUGCUAUCAAUUUCGAUCUAUGCUAUGAAGUAUGAACAUGGCUGGCUAGAGGAUUUGUGGUUGUAUUAACAAAUUGGCAGGUUAUUUGUUUGGCCUAGCUGUUUAGUGAAGGAGAUGCCAGGGGAAAUUAUGAGGGUGGUCUUGACAUCCUGACUGCUAGAGAAGCCAUCUUUAUAUGGCAGCAAAAUAGCUCCAUUUUAGACAUGCUAGGAUUCCUGCAGACAUUUGCAACUACCUUUUCCUCUUCAGUGUAUUCACAGAAUGAUGAGUUACACCAUAUAAGCUAACAAAUGGUGCCACUGUUGUUGAAUUUUUUUUCCCUAUGUUCUGGACAUGCAAUUGAUUGGAAACUUAUUGGAAAUUUUGUGUGACAAGUGCCAAACAAAAUUCAGAAGGGAUGGCUCACUUGCUAAUCUAAAUUCAUGAAAUGUUAAAAACAACUCAGCUUGAUCUAUACAACCUGGGAAGGUUAGCUUGGGUGGUGAUGGGCAGUAAGUUUUCUUAGUUGGAAAAUGAUUUCUUUCAAACUUCCUUCAUAGAUUUCUAUCCAGUUUAAAAACCUUACUGGGAUCUCAGCCAAAUGCUUAGAAAUUCGAUUUCACUUCACAGUGUCAAACAACUGCCAACACUUGCUUUAUAAACUAUUAUGGCUUGAUAUGAUUUGCAACUCAUGUUUGUUUGUUUUUUUAUCUUAAACUAUCGACUUCUUUGCUGGUAUCAUGUUUGCUUUUAGGCAGGCUGGUUCGCUACAGUUACAGUUCACACCACUUUUUUGUGCUUAGCAGCUGUUUGUUUGUUGCCUUUUUUACCUGGGCAUCUUCGCUUGCAUUUUUCCCUGCUGUUCUGCUCGCUUCGUAACAUUGUCGCUGAGGCUGCGUCCAUAGUUUGGCAUUGCUGUCUCCUCAGUCUUCAGUCAUUUGUUAGUUUUUAAUUUGUUCAAUUUCGAGUCUGUUUCCUAUUUGUUUUUUUCUUUGCUUCUUUGGCCGCCUUCACACUUUGAGCCUUGUGUUUUUGGUGUUUUGGGGUUGCUGUUUCUGUCCUUUUUAAUUUUCUAGGUUUCCAGUUAAAAGAUCAUCGUUGUGUCCUGUGUAUCCAUUGCAUCCUUCGGCUCUUUGCUGUUCAUUUGGCUGACAUUCCUAGCUGUUUUCUCCUUGCCUUCAAUCCAUUGGCGCAAGCGCAACAUUAAAGCCAAACACAUUGAUAUAAGAAAAACGAAGCUGGUUCCCAAGCAUGACGCUACACGAAGCAGCACUGGUGCCAAGUCAACAGCGGACAGCUGUGGUAGACGUUCACGGUUUCAAAAGAGGACUCGCACAAAGGCAUCCUUCCUAGCAAAGGCCCCUCUCUCUUUUUCUUAUUUUCCUUUCCUGCAUGUUAGAUUGCUGCUCAAUAUUGCUGUUUUUAUCUUGGGUCAUCUUCUGUUGUUGUUACAACAUUUCUUUCCUUCAGUGCUGCGCAUAUGGCCAUGUUUGCUGUUUUGACAUGUGCUGCUGCCCGCGCAAUAUUAUUCCAAUGCAAUUGCUCCUCAUUGCAAUUAUUUCUCUCUCUUGGUUUUCUGAGCUACAGGUUCGGCUAGCAAUGGCAGCCAUUUGGGAUGCUUUUUGCGAUGGAUUUGAUAUCUUUGAGAGGUGUCUUAUGUUAUGAAUGAUG
Molecule: RNA transcript, 1784 nt
Organism: Populus euphratica (Euphrates poplar)
Lineage: Eukaryota; Viridiplantae; Streptophyta; Magnoliopsida; Malpighiales; Salicaceae
Exons: 4
Source: RefSeq, a predicted model, not a curated record